Molecule: non-coding RNA, 147 nt
Filed under: Nomascus leucogenys (northern white-cheeked gibbon)
Lineage: Eukaryota; Metazoa; Chordata; Mammalia; Primates; Hylobatidae
Source: Rfam by way of RNAcentral
GCUGGGUGUGGUGGUGGGCGCCUGUAAUCCCAGCUAUCAGGAGGCUGAGGCAGGAGAAUCGCUUGAACCCAGGAAGCAGAGGCUGUAGUGAGCUGAGACCACGCCACUGCACUCCAGCCUAGGUGACAGAGCGAGACCCUGUCUCAA